RNAcentral lists this RNase P RNA (299 nucleotides) under Chloroflexota bacterium. RNAcentral describes it as "Chloroflexi bacterium RNase P RNA component class A". It matches the Rfam family "Bacterial RNase P class A". From Rfam's summary of the family: Ribonuclease P (RNase P) is a ubiquitous endoribonuclease, found in archaea, bacteria and eukarya as well as chloroplasts and mitochondria. Its best characterised activity is the generation of mature 5'-ends of tRNAs by cleaving the 5'-leader elements of precursor-tRNAs. Lineage: Bacteria; Bacillati; Chloroflexota. The record is from RNAcentral.
CUGGUCCGCUGGGUUAUUCGAGGAAAGUCCGAGCUCCGCAGAGCAGGGUGCCGGGUAACGCCCGGUCGGGGUGACCCGAAGGAGAGUGCCACAGAAAAGACACAGCCGCCGCGCGAGCGACGGCGAAGGUGAAAUGGUGCGGGUAAGAGCCCACCAGCAGCCGGGAGACCGGCUGGCUCGGUAGGUCGCUAGAGUCGCCGGGUAACCGGCGACCGAGACGGAUGACUGCCGCCCCACGGCGCGCCGGCUUCGCCGGCUGAAGCGGGGAACAGAACUCGGCUUACCGGCGGACUCACUCU